AAACAGAUAAUCAUGCCCACUUCUCGCGUGCUCUGUACUGAAUUUCACAGUUUGCUGCGGGCCCCGAUUCGGGUCGUCGAAUCCGGUGAACCGGACCCGCAUUCGAGCCGUUCAAUCUUGUUGCCGUGAUCAAGGGGAAACGGUCCGAGGCAGAUCAACGCCCAACUUUCAACGCCUUGCUCUUUUUUUUGGAGGGCAUAAUCAAAAUCAAUACGUCACUCCUUCUUCAACCUCCGCUCCGCUGGGCUUGGCUAUCUCCACCGCCAAUCCGCCGCCACGACCAUCAUUGAGCCACCGCCCCACCGUGACCGCCACUGUGCGCGGCAAAGUUGUUGAGCUUGUCGCCGGCAACCAUGGACGAGCCAAGACUCGAGCUGAAAGCUAUUAAGCAGCAGACCAGAUCUAGCUGUUGAGCGACGGUCGAUCACCGCGUCCAGGCCAACCUCCGCGUCCACCCUCUCCGUUGUCUCGGCGGCUAAGUCUUGGCCGCGAGCGCUCGUCCACAGAUAUGGAGAUGCAGGGUAGCGGUCGGCCGUGGACGGUCUCUCGUCCACAGAUCUAAGCGACGACCUCCGCGGCCAAAUCUGGCGUUCUUUCAAAAAAUCUCGCAGACAUGGACGGUGGCUCGAGUCAUUUGACCCUACUGACGGGAUGAAGUUAUGGGAAUGAAGUUCUGUGAACUGCGUGGGGUUUUGUCGAUUUGCGUUUCAAGAUGCCUACUGCUCCAUAUUUGGAGUUCGUUCGUGGACGAACAGAGGAAGA
Syzygium oleosum is the source of this 762-nucleotide long non-coding RNA. RefSeq lists it as uncharacterized. The record is from RefSeq and is a predicted model, not a curated record. The transcript is spliced from 2 exons. NCBI's taxonomy places the organism in Eukaryota, Viridiplantae, Streptophyta, Magnoliopsida, Myrtales, Myrtaceae.